RNAcentral lists this ribosomal RNA (253 nucleotides) under uncultured bacterium. RNAcentral's name for it is "partial 16S ribosomal RNA". It matches the Rfam family "Bacterial small subunit ribosomal RNA", at positions 524 to 776 of the family's 1533-position model. The record is from RNAcentral.
UACGGAGGGUGCAAGCGUUGUCCGGAUUUAUUGGGUUUAAAGGGUGCGUAGGCGGCCUCUUAAGUCAGUGGUGAAAGCCCGCGGCUCAACCGCGGAACUGCCAUUGAUACUGGGAGGCUUGAGUACAGACGAGGUGGGCGGAAUUGAAGAUGUAGCGGUGAAAUGCUUAGAUAUCUUCAAGAACACCGAUUGCGUAGGCAGCUCACUAGGCUGUAACUGACGCUGAGGCACGAAAGCGUGGGGAUCAAACAGG